GUUCCGUUUUUUUUUUAAUUUUUCUUGGGUACUUACUUUAAUAGUGAUGUCUGCUUUUCUGCUAUUAAUAUAUAUGGCCAUUUACACUGCUUCAAACCCACACAUCCAUCAAGCUUGGAGACUAUUUUCUCAAGUCACCCCUGCUAAGAAAUGCGCCAUUACCAGAAGAAUAAAAUGUAGAUGAUGAAGUUUAUAUUUCAACUCUAUUGGGAAAAAAAUCCAUCAUCAUCAAAUACCCCGACUCUCUUAAUAUGAAUUGAAUCAAUGUGUAUGCUGGAGAUAUAUUUUCCAAAAUUUAUUGUAUGAUUUAACCAUGGUCAUGACAUCUUACUAUAAGGGAAACUCC
This 346-nucleotide long non-coding RNA is filed under the name Mytilus galloprovincialis (Mediterranean mussel). Lineage: Eukaryota; Metazoa; Mollusca; Bivalvia; Mytilida; Mytilidae. The record is from RNAcentral.